CCUACGGGUGGCAGCAGUGAGGAAUAUUGGUCAAUGGGCGCGAGCCUGAACCAGCCAAGUCGCGUGAGGGAAGACGGUCCUAUGGAUUGUAAACCUCUUUUGUCGGGGAGCAAAAGACGCCACGCGUGGCGUUCCGAGAGUACCCGAAGAAAAAGCAUCGGCUAACUCCGUGCCAGCAGCCGCGGUAAUACGGAGGAUGCGAGCGUUAUCCGGAUUUAUUGGGUUUAAAGGGUGCGCAGGCGGAAGAUCAAGUCAUCGGUAAAAUUGAGAGGCUCAACCUCUUCGAGCCGUUGCAACGGGUUUGCUUGAGUGAGUGAGAAGUAGGCGGAAGGGUGGGUGUGGCGGGGAAA
RNAcentral lists this ribosomal RNA (350 nucleotides) under uncultured bacterium. RNAcentral describes it as "partial 16S ribosomal RNA". It matches the Rfam family "Bacterial small subunit ribosomal RNA", at positions 338 to 686 of the family's 1533-position model. The record is from RNAcentral.